RNAcentral lists this ribosomal RNA (503 nucleotides) under uncultured bacterium. Its description in RNAcentral is "partial 16S ribosomal RNA". It matches the Rfam family "Bacterial small subunit ribosomal RNA", at positions 28 to 507 of the family's 1533-position model. The record is from RNAcentral.
GACGAACGCUGGCGGCGUGCUUAACACAUGCAAGUCGAACGGUGAAGCGCUUUCCUUUUUGGUUGGUGUGGAUGAGUGGCGAACGGGUGAGUAACACGUGAGUAACCUGCCCCCUUCUUCUGGAUAACCGCAUGAAAGUGUGGCUAAUACGGGAUAUUCUGCGCCUGCUGCAUGGUGGGUGUGGGAAAGAUUGUGCCUUUGGGUGUUUUCGGUGGGGGAUGGGCUCGCGGCCUAUCAGCUUGUUGGUGGGGUGAUGGCCUACCAAGGCGGUGACGGGUAGCCGGCCUGAGAGGGUGGACGGUCACACUGGGACUGAGACACGGCCCAGACUCCUACGGGAGGCAGCAGUGGGGAAUAUUGCACAAUGGGCACAAGCCUGAUGCAGCGACGCCGCGUGAGGGAUGGAGGCCUUCGGGUUGUGAACCUCUUUCGCCAGUGAAGCAGGCCUGCUCCUUGUGGGUGGGUUGACGGUAGCUGGAUAAGAAGCGCCGGCUAACUACGUG